UACGUAGGGUGCAAGCGUUGUCCGGAAUUAUUGGGCGUAAAGAGCUCGUAGGCGGCUAGUCGCGUCGGCUGUGAAAACCUGGGGCUCAACCCCGGGCCUGCAGCCGAUACGGGCUAGCUAGAAUUCGGUAGGGGAGACUGGAAUUCCUGGUGUAGCGGUGAAAUGCGCAGAUACCAGGAGGAACACCGGUGGCGAAGGCGGGUCUCUGGGCCGAUAUUGACGCUGAGGAGCGAAAGCGUGGGGAGCGAACAGG
RNAcentral lists this ribosomal RNA (253 nucleotides) under uncultured bacterium. Its description in RNAcentral is "partial 16S ribosomal RNA". It matches the Rfam family "Bacterial small subunit ribosomal RNA", at positions 524 to 776 of the family's 1533-position model. The record is from RNAcentral.